UCAUACGUGUAUAAUCCAUUUUUUAUGUAUGAUAAGUGUAUUUAUUACAUUCUUCUAUCUUUGAUAUGGUAUAUCAAUGGCGUUGAUUAAUUUUUAAAAGUUAUAACGUUUUUGUCCUUUUAAUGAUUUGGUAUCAAUCAACAAGAGCGAACUAUAUACAAUCAACGAUAAAUUCGAGUCGGAAGUGUUAAAAAUAAGGUAAAGUGUUACUAUCAUAUGUUAAAUGUCACUUACUAAUUUUCAAAAAAAUAAAUUUGAAUCACACUUAAUGAUGAUUAAAAUAAUCAGCGUUUUUAUGUUUAUUGUUAAUGUGCUGCAAUUUAUAAGAUAUUUAAAUGGUCAAAGAACUACUGUAUGUUCCAUGCAGUAGAUUAAGUUACAUUGCGCUCAUGUUUAAAAACAAUAGAAAACUUGAAAAAAAAACUUAAAUUAACCUGUUAAGAUAGUCUUGUGGUUACCUCGCAUGCAAUAAAAAUCGAGAGAAAUAUGUCGGACAAAUCGUUAUAGCGAUCAUGAAUAAUUGCAACCGGAAAAACACAAAACAUGCAAGAAAAAAAUGUUCGGGUCAAAGUUCAAGCCUCUUACAUGGGUGUUGUUUGCAAUUAUGAUCUUCGUAUCUAGAGAAAGGGAGAGAAUCGUGUUUAUUUUCGAAGAUGAAUUGUCUCCUAGUGCGUUUUACUCUUGUUUUAAAUAUUAUAGAAGUUUAUAUGUAUAGAUACUUGCAUUGUGGACAAUUUGUAGGUGAUGUUUAUAUCAAGAUUUGAUGGUUACCCUGACAAAGAUCAAAUAAUUCAUGUUAUGUGAGGUCGAAGAUCAGAUGUAAUAUCGAAAUAAUUCUCAACAGCGAAAUUAAGACAGAAAAAUCACGUACUUUGGUUACAAAAAAAACUGUAUUAUAAUUUUAUGUUUUCCCUCAAAACAUUAUGCUACAUAAUUGCGAAGAUAUUUCUUUUCUAGAAGUCCUAGACAUUCAGUCAAUACAUCUGUCACGUGACUAAAGAUUUACCAACACCUUAUGGUAUACAGAUAUUACAUAUAUUGAUUUCAUUAUUGGAAAUGAUUCUAGAUAUUCUGAAAAAUCUGUAUAAUUUGGUUGUUAUAACAUUGGUCCCUAUUUGAAAAAUAAGUAUAUGCUUUCAGCACAUUUCAUAUCAUAUCAUUCAUAUAGGUUUUAGAUAUAGAAGGAAUUCUUCCCGAGAGCAGCGAGUUAUUCUUUCCCUACUUGAAUGGUCACUGCUUCGCGAAAAGCUGUCAAAAUGAGACCAUAAUUUAUGUGACAGGGUCGAAAAGUUAUCACGGGUAGCUAUCGGUUGAAUAUUUAACCUGGAAACGCUAUAAUAGUCCAAUAUUAUAGGUGAACGGUACAGGUGCCGGUGGAUUUUUUGUAGACUUUUCUUAAAUAGUAAUAAUUGUAUCGAAUUUGCGAUAAUCAUAUUUUCAUAUCUGUUUUAUCAAUCAAUCCAGGGCUUGUGUCUAAAUAUAUCUAGAGAAUAUCUGCAAGGAAACUUAUUAAGGUUGUUCACAUAUUUGUGUGUCAAAUAAUUCUAAGCCAUAUUUAUAUUAAAGUGAGUUACAUGUAUAGUUCGUUGUACGGCAACCAUGGUGAUCCAUCUCCAUAUUUUAUCACUAAAUGAUACACUUGUAUUUAACACACACAAGUAUGUGAAUGGAAGGCUUUUAUUCCGUCCGUCAUGAUUUCAACCAACCAUCACUAUAUAAGUCUGUUUCAUUCAUAUAUUUUUGACUUUUUAUAGAAAUAUAAAGUUAUAUAUAUAAUGUGUGUAUGUAUUGUAAAUAUAUUUGGCAUUGUUCCAAACAGUGAUUGAUUCAUUCAAUCUACAUAGUUUUCAUUAGGUGUAUUAUGAUCCAUUGGUCGUGUGUCCAUCGUCUAUGUUUAAGUUUGGUCAAAUCUAAAUGAUGUUCUCUCUACUAAAGCUCAUUUUGAUAUGCGACCUGUUUACUAUUAUCACAGAUUGUCGACGUAAAAGGUAGUUAAAGAAAUAAAUAGAUAAACAGGUGAGCGAUACUGGUACCAUUGUUUUUUGGGUUUUUGUUUCGAAUUUUUAUUGGUGUCUUUUUUAUCUCUAUUAUAUUAAUUGUUGUGAUAUUGUAAUCAUAUUUGUUAGUCAUUUUAUGAACUGUUGAUGUGUUUUAAUGAACCCCGAGGCUGUGUUCAGUUCCACUGAUAGAACACCACAAAGUUUAAACCAGAGACCACUUUGGAAGACGGAUUAGUGAAAAGGGGCAGUUUAAGCCGGCCGUGGCCAUUUAAAAACCCAAGAAUACAAUUAUAUAAGUGUUGAAAUAAUUGAUUGCAUUGAUGAACUAAGUGCGACAAUCCUCCCUCGUGCACAUUCUGGGUACCAUGGGGAAGCAGCGGAGAGUGCACCAGCCUUUCACAAAGAUAACCGGGAUUUGAUUCAAGGACAUAUAAGAUGUGUCGCGACACGAAUGCUGAGAGGGAACCGAAUACUAAACCCGAACUGUGAUAUAAUAUCGGUGAACAAGACUGAAAACACAUUAGCAUAAGCCUUCAUUAAUGUUUUGCAUUGGUAUUCACCUUAAGUAGUAUUUCUGCAAACCGUGUGUGGGACGAUAGUUUCCCUUUCCGUGAGUCCGCUUGCGUUUUAUAACAUCUCUGAUAACUUUGAAUUUCAUGAAUGUUUGGUCCGGAUCUAUGUUAUCAUUACUAUUUUAUUUUUUAAUAUUUCUAGAUCUAGUUGCUUAUGUAAUUCCUUGACCAGUUUCCAUUGUAUUGUAACUGUUACGACAGCGGAUAUUUUGGAUCAUUUCUUGUUUUCGCUUCGAAGGAAAAUUGAUUGACCGGUCAAAAUUGGUGAUGAAUAUUAUAUUCACAGUGAGUUGGUAAUCCCUGUUUGUACAUUCAAAUGACUGUCCUAUGCAGUUUUGCGACUUAAAUGUUUUGGAAAAAUGGUUUUCUUGUCAACUGUUUCAAAAAAUACAUCAUUGCUUAUUGGAUUUACCCUUAAAAGCAGUUAAUUCUGUUAGAUUAAAAAAAAUAACGUAUGAAUUAUGUUCACGUUAUUUACCAUUGAUAUAAACGUGGCCAUUUUGAAAAUGGGUGAAUUUCGCAGUAUAAAUUCUCAAAAAUCUUAAAUGUUUACCUGUU
Molecule: long non-coding RNA, 3130 nt
Organism: Pecten maximus
Lineage: Eukaryota; Metazoa; Mollusca; Bivalvia; Pectinida; Pectinidae
Exons: 4
Source: RefSeq, a predicted model, not a curated record